AUUAGAGACCUUUCACAUACAUAUUUGCUAAUAUUGAGAACAAGCCACUUCACUCUAACAGCAUGGUUACCUGAAUUAAAUUUAAAUUAUAAACAGUACUUUGCAAUCCACAGAUGACGCAAUCAUAAUUCCACUGCCCUUGGUUUGGGCAAUACCAUAUCAAGAUUUUGUGCAAAGAUCUAUUUUGAAUCGAAAAUUGUACAAAUCAGACAAUGAUUAUCUUCCUUAAUCAAAUAAAUUAUUUUUUAUAUCAAACAAAGUUUAAGUAGAAUAGUUGAUCUUUUAAAAUAUGUAUUUGUCAUGUAUUGUCGUAAUUUUUCAGUGGAACAUUCCGGCGGGCACAAGCGAGAAUGGAAAAGUCCAUUGUGACCAGAGGAAGGGGGGAUUAAUAUCUUCAGAAGACUUGCUUAAGCUAAACUGAUAGAGCAAACACGUUAUAUGCUGUUUUAUAACUUAUGUAUUUUCAUAAUGAUGUGUAACAAAAAAAAUUAAUUCUAUUUAUUGCAUUUUUGGGAUACCCUUUGAGAAUUUUCAUAUUGUGACCGACCCAGCGCCAUCUUGUCACAUUUGCGUGGUACAUCUGAUGAACCAGAACAUGACGAGGACGAACAGGAAAAACAAAUUAGGAAUAUAAUAUUCGGUGGACAAGAUAAAAGGAGUUUCAGGUCAUAAGAGAGGAUACCAGAGCUUCAUCCAUCGUGGAUGUUUAUCCAGAGAAUUGCAUCGUGCUUGGAGAAAUGCAUAGAGUCCUUGCUCCCCACAAUGAUGAAUUCUUCGAGGAAGUCAAAAUGAGAUGGGAGGAUUGCUGCGCCAGGGUCAUUUUACGGAGUAUGAAAGAAGGCAAUAAAGCCACUAAUCAACAGGGAUAAAAUGGAAGCCAACUUUGCUCUGGUGAAGGCCCUUCCCUUUCCCCCAGUGGCACCUCCAUCAAAGAAACUGGGAUGUGCUGGUGAAGCUUUACUGCAUGUUCAGGAGGUAAAUUUUUAUUUUUGCCCUAAGCAGAUACAUAAAGAAAUUACUACAUUGGAGAUACUAAAGUAAAAAUGUUUUUUUCUGCUUUAUAGUCAACAGAAGAUCCAAACGUCUUCAUCCAGAAGAGAGGCCUGUCAAGUCCAGUCUUGGUGUUCGAUGGCAGCAGAUGCAUCGUUGCUAUUGGUUUGAUGCCAGUGACGUUUGAAAAAGAAAAGCUUCACGAGGGUCUGAUUUUCUAAAUGGCAUAUUUUUACACACUACAUCUGACCUACACAAAAUGCGUGGCCACCCUUCUGUCAUUCAGACAGAUCCUUCAGGAUACAAUUCACAAGCGGGACAGCACCACCACAUGAAAGAGCAUUAAAGUAAAGAAUUUGUUGGAAGAUGAACUGCUUUUGCAGUUCAAUGUUUAUGUCUGUUCUUUAGAUGAGUAUUCUAAUUGUGUUGUUAAAGAAACUGUUGUAUUCCUAGAAAAUUUGGGUACAUUUGUAACACAAAUCUCAGUUUGUAAGUUGAAUAAAAGAAUCGAAAAGUGAAUUUGUUUUCAUUCUUUUUAGUAUUGAAACAAGAAAAAAUAUCUUUUGCAACUGCUUGUUUCAAGAUUUAUUUUCUGAAUUUUAGUGGGCAAUACAUUUUAAUCAAGCUCCUAUAUCCUAGUUUCUAGUUUUUUUGUCUUAAAUUACUGCUUAAAAUAAGUGUUUUUGCCUAAUUUCAAGAUUUAACCGAUUUACUAUGGCUUAGAUAUUUUUACUUAAAUCAAGACAUCUUGUUAAGUAAAAUUUACUAGCUGCACUGGCAGAUAAUUUGACUUAUUUCUAGUCAAUUUCUACUAAAAGCAAGUACUUUUUUCUAGAAUUAAGAUGGUGGUUUUUUGCAGUGCAGACUGGUUUAAUCCUUUUUUUUUUUUUUAAUGCUGGUGUGCCGCGGGAUUUUUGUCAAGGUUAAAGUGUGCCGUGGCUCAAAAAAGGUUGAAAAACACUGCACUAGCCGACUUUUAUGAAUGUAGCCAGCGAUCAGGGGAGUCUGUUUGCUCCUAUGCUAUAUAUUUGGAGGCAACUUUGAGAGCAUUGGAGGAAAGUCAAAGAGGCGGUAAGCCAUUCCCAGAUUGGGAUUGUAAAUUCACUAGGGGAGUUUCCGGGAGCUGCAAGAUAAGCUCAGAAAUCCGACUAAAGAAACUAAAAUAUUCAAGUCACUACCAAGUCAAAGAGGACCUACAUUCAGGUCCAGGUGACACCUGACUGUAACAGAGGAGGUUUUGGAAGCUCAGGGACAGGCAAAGUUAUUUAUCCACACUUGACCUCACUUCUGGAUAUUGGCAGGUGGAAGCGGCAGAGCACGACAAACACAAGACAGACUCUAGUCCUUCUGGCUAGGUUUAAAGU
Molecule: long non-coding RNA, 2354 nt
Filed under: Oryzias sinensis (Chinese medaka)
Lineage: Eukaryota; Metazoa; Chordata; Actinopteri; Beloniformes; Adrianichthyidae
Description: lncRNA (ENSOSIG00000009615.1)
Source: RNAcentral